This 554-nucleotide ribosomal RNA is filed under the name Pseudovibrio sp. Pv231. RNAcentral's name for it is "bacterial SSU rRNA". It matches the Rfam family "Bacterial small subunit ribosomal RNA", at positions 94 to 683 of the family's 1533-position model. Lineage: Bacteria; Pseudomonadati; Pseudomonadota; Alphaproteobacteria; Hyphomicrobiales; Stappiaceae. The record is from RNAcentral.
AGUGGCAGACGGGUGAGUAACGCGUGGGAAGCUACCUUGUGGUAGGGGACAACAGUUGGAAACGACUGCUAAUACCCUAUGAGCCCUAUGGGGGAAAGAUUUAUCGCCAUGAGAUGUGCCCGCGUUAGAUUAGCUAGUUGGUAAGGUAAUGGCUUACCAAGGCGACGAUCUAUAGCUGGUCUGAGAGGAUGAUCAGCCACACUGGGACUGAGACACGGCCCAGACUCCUACGGGAGGCAGCAGUGGGGAAUAUUGGACAAUGGGGGCAACCCUGAUCCAGCCAUGCCGCGUGUGUGAUGACGGCCUUAGGGUUGUAAAGCACUUUCAGCAGUGAAGAUAAUGACAUUAACUGCAGAAGAAGCCCCGGCUAACUUCGUGCCAGCAGCCGCGGUAAUACGAAGGGGGCUAGCGUUGUUCGGAAUCACUGGGCGUAAAGAGUACGUAGGCGGACUGAUAAGUUAGGGGUGAAAUCCCAAGGCUCAACCUUGGAACUGCCUUUGAUACUGUCAGUCUUGAGAUCGAGAGAGGUGAGUGGAACUCCGAGUGUAGAGGUG